RNAcentral lists this non-coding RNA (28 nucleotides) under Rattus norvegicus (Norway rat). Lineage: Eukaryota; Metazoa; Chordata; Mammalia; Rodentia; Muridae. The record is from RNAcentral.
UGAGCUUUAUCACAGAGGUCUUCCCGCU